Molecule: non-coding RNA, 27 nt
Filed under: Mus musculus (house mouse)
Lineage: Eukaryota; Metazoa; Chordata; Mammalia; Rodentia; Muridae
Source: RNAcentral
ACCAUCUCACGCAAUGUGGCGCUUGUC